GAUGAACGCUAGCUACAGGCUUAACACAUGCAAGUCGAGGGGUAGAAGUUGCUUGCAACUUUGAGACCGGCGCACGGGUGCGUAACGCGUAUGCAAUCUACCUUAUACAGAGGGAUAGCCCAGAGAAAUUUGGAUUAAUACCUCAUAGUAUAAUUGAAUGGCAUCAUUUAAUUAUUAAAGUUCCAACGGUAUAAGAUGAGCAUGCGUCCUAUUAGCUAGAUGGUAAGGUAACGGCUGACCAUGGCAACGAUAGGUAGGGGUCCUGAGAGGGAGAUCCCCCCCACAGGUACUGAGACACGGACCAGACUCCUACGGGAGGCAGCAGUGAGGAAUAUUGGACAAUGGGCGCAAGCCUGAUCCAGCCAUGCCGCGUGCAGGAAGAAGCAUCUAUGGUGUGUAAACUGCUUUUGUACGGGAAGAAACACUCCUUCGUGAAGGAGCUUGACGGUACCGUAAGAAUAAGGAUCGGCUAACUCCGUGCCAGCCGCCGCCGUAA
RNAcentral lists this ribosomal RNA (496 nucleotides) under uncultured bacterium. Its description in RNAcentral is "partial 16S ribosomal RNA". It matches the Rfam family "Bacterial small subunit ribosomal RNA", at positions 28 to 523 of the family's 1533-position model. The record is from RNAcentral.